RNAcentral lists this ribosomal RNA (500 nucleotides) under uncultured bacterium. Its description in RNAcentral is "partial 16S ribosomal RNA". It matches the Rfam family "Bacterial small subunit ribosomal RNA", at positions 30 to 523 of the family's 1533-position model. The record is from RNAcentral.
AUUGAACGCUGGCGGCAUGCCUUACACAUGCAAGUCGAACGGCAGCACGGGAGCAAUCCUGGUGGCGAGUGGCGAACGGGUGAGUAAUAUAUCGGAACGUGCCCAGUCGUGGGGGAUAACGUAGCGAAAGCUACGCUAAUACCGCAUACGAUCUAUGGAUGAAAGCGGGGGAUCGCAAGACCUCGCGCGAUUGGAGCGGCCGAUAUCAGAUUAGGUAGUUGGUGAGGUAAAGGCUCACCAAGCCGACGAUCUGUAGCUGGUCUGAGAGGCCGCCCAGCCACACGGGGACUGAGACACGGCCCAGACUCCUACGGGAGGCAGCAGUGGGGAAUUUUGGACAAUGGGCGCAAGCCUGAUUCAGCAAUGCCGCGUGCAGAAUGAAGGCCUUCGGGUUGUAAACUGCUUUUGUACGGAACGAAACGGUGAGCUCUAAUACAGUUUGCUAAUGACGGUACCGUAAGAAUAAGCACCGGCUAACUACGUGCCAGCAGCCGCGGUAA